Molecule: non-coding RNA, 76 nt
Organism: Podarcis lilfordi (Lilford's wall lizard)
Lineage: Eukaryota; Metazoa; Chordata; Lepidosauria; Squamata; Lacertidae
Source: the annotation of a GenBank genome assembly
AGCGGUCAUAGCUCAGUGGAAUAGCAUCUGCCUUGCAAGCAGAAGCUCCCAGGUUUCAACCCCUAUGGCAUUGCCA